CAGGACAUAUAAGAACAACACCAACACGUAAGUUAACUUUCAAUAGUAAUUUUAACAACAAAUUUGACCUUUUGCCUAUGCGUAAUCAACUUUCAUUAACAUUAAGAUUAAAAAAAAACAUAUACACUUUCAUUUUGAGUACGAUAAUUUCGACGUUUUGUAGGUUAUUUUCACAAGGAACACAACUGUAAAUGUUGCAUACUGUAAAAACGAAGUCUGUGACCCUUUCUUUAUUUUGCAUCAUUACAACGCAAAUUUAUGUAUCAAACACAUAUAGUUUUUUUCAGAAUAAUCUAUUGAGUAAUUUUUAAUAGAUUUGAUGAUUUUAAGACAAAUUUAAGAAGGUUUUUUGCCGAUUUAGUGUGCCUUUUAUUCAAAUUUUCUCCCAUUUCGAAAAAUUUCGAUCAGUUAUAUUUCAAAUAAUAAAUGAGAUAAAUGCAUUAUUUUUCUAUUUUCAGUAGUUGAACGAGCCAAAGGUGGCAAAACUUUACUGAAAUCUGUGACAAAAGCCAUUUAUUGUAACUUGGCCUUAAGUAAAAACUUAUCUAAAAAACAUAUGAUUAUCAUGUAAUUGUUAUCUAAAAGACACAUUAUUCAUAUGUAAUUUUUAUCUAAAAGACACACGAUUUUUAAACAACACAUGAUCUAUAUGAUUUUAUAUGGUAAGUGAACGAUUCAUUAUGUAAGUAUUAUAUAAAAGAGACAUGAUAUAUAUGUUAAGUGAAGGAUUCGUUAUGUAAUUGUUAUAUAAAAGAGACAUGAUAUAUAUGUUAAGUGAAGGAUUCAUUAUGUAAUUGUUA
RNAcentral lists this long non-coding RNA (800 nucleotides) under Mytilus galloprovincialis (Mediterranean mussel). Lineage: Eukaryota; Metazoa; Mollusca; Bivalvia; Mytilida; Mytilidae. The record is from RNAcentral.